GCGUAACACGUGGGCAAUUUGCCUUAAAGUGUGGGAUAGCUCGGCGAAAGCCGAAUUAAUACCGCAUGUGGCUACUGGAGACAUCUUCGGGACGCUAAAGGUGGCGCAAGCUACCGCUUUUUGAGGAGCCCGCGGCCUAUCAGCUUGUUGGUGAGGUAACGGCUCACCAAGGCGUUGACGGGUAGCUGGUCUGAGAGGACGACCAGCCACACUGGGACUGAGACACGGCCCAGACACCUACGGGUGGCAGCAGUCGAGAAUUUUUGACAAUGGGGGAAACCCUGAUCGAGCGACGCCGCGUGGAGGAUGAAGGUCUUCGGGUUGUAAACUCCUGUCAUUUGGGAACAAGGCGUGGUUAUUAACUGUAGUCACGUUGAUAGUACCAGAAGAGGAAGAGACGGCUAACUCUGUGCCAGCAGCCGCGGUAAUACAGAGGUCUCAAGCGUUGUUCGGAUUCAUUGGGCGUAAAGGGUGUGUAGGUGGCGCGCUAAGUCGGGUGUGAAAUUUCGGAGCUUAACUCCGAAACUGCAUUCGAUACUGGCGUGCUUGAGGACUGGAGAGGAGACUGGAAUUUACGGUGUAGCAGUGAAAUGC
This 594-nucleotide ribosomal RNA is filed under the name uncultured bacterium. RNAcentral's name for it is "bacterial SSU rRNA". It matches the Rfam family "Bacterial small subunit ribosomal RNA", at positions 108 to 689 of the family's 1533-position model. The record is from RNAcentral.